This 372-nucleotide ribosomal RNA is filed under the name uncultured organism. Its description in RNAcentral is "bacterial SSU rRNA". It matches the Rfam family "Bacterial small subunit ribosomal RNA", at positions 526 to 896 of the family's 1533-position model. The record is from RNAcentral.
CGUAAGGGGCAAGCGUUGUCCGGAAUUAUUGGGCGUAAAGAGCGUGUAGGCGGUCCGGUAAGUCAGCUGUGAAAGUCAAGGGCUCAACCCUUGAAAGCCGGUUGAUACUGUCGGGCUAGAGUCCGGAAGAGGCGAGUGGAAUUCCCGGUGUAGCGGUGAAAUGCGCAGAUAUCGGGAGGAACACCAAUGGCGAAGGCAGCUCGCUGGGACGGUACUGACGCUGAGACGCGAAAGCGUGGGGAGCAAACAGGAUUAGAUACCCUGGUAGUCCACGCCGUAAACGAUGGGCACUAGGUGUUGGGGGUGUCGACUCCCCCGGCGCCGUAGCUAACGCAUUAAGUGCCCCGCCCGGGGAGUACGGCCGCAAGGCUA